AUUAGCUUGAAUGCCAGGGAGCCGCUCGUUUUGAAAUGGUAUCGUUUGCUCAUGAAUCCACUUCCAUCACACUAAGUUAUUUCAUCUUUUAAGUUUUAUUACUUUUUACCAGCAGAUACUAAGUGAAGCUACUUCAUUUGAAGGUGUUUUGUUGUCAUAGGACGGGUUCAGUUACUUUGUGAUGGCACGCACUAUUUUGGCUGAUAACGUCGAAGCGUGGCUUCAUUUUUUGUCUCUCCAAUUUUUUCAAACAAUUUGUUUUGUGACGUUCCACAAGAACAUCUAUUUUACAGACGGUUGAUACCAACAUGGAAUGGACUGAAAAGGUGAAGCAAAGGCCCACCAUGCUCCUACCUGCUGACUGACGUGUUGGUGGUGGACUUGUGGAGAACUUGGACAAAAUGGAAGAAGAUUCUGGGUUGACAUUUUGGAGCGAAGGCUGACCAUGCUCACCUCCUGAUUGAUGUGGGACUUGUGUCGAAUUGGACAAAUUGGAGAAGAUUCUGAAAAUGGUGGAACAGGCCGAGAACAUGUAAAGGCGUGGUGGCAUUGAUUUUGUUCUCUGGAUGUCAAAUGGACUUUUACAUGAUGGACUGCUGUUAAACUGAAUUUAUAUUUGUAGCAACAGUCUGUAAAUAUUCCAAAUAUGAAGGAGUUAAAAUUCAUGAAUUGUGUCAAGCUAUGUUUGUUUGGAUUAAACCUCUUUUUUUUUGUUUAAACAAAACGGUGGUCUGGUUCCUGGCAAGUACUGGCUGUCUAGUACAGUGAUUCCCAAACAGUGUGCUGUGGUACAUUAACGUGCUGUGGGAGGUUACCCAAUUUUAUGUAAUUGCUAAAAAAAAAAAAAAAUUAUUCCAAGAAAUAAUGUAUUCACUAUUUAUGCCAGUGAGGCACAAUGACAGAACAAAAAAAA
Syngnathoides biaculeatus (alligator pipefish) is the source of this 913-nucleotide long non-coding RNA. RefSeq lists it as uncharacterized. The record is from RefSeq and is a predicted model, not a curated record. The transcript has 4 exons. Lineage: Eukaryota; Metazoa; Chordata; Actinopteri; Syngnathiformes; Syngnathidae.